AACGAACGCUGGCGGCAUGCCUAACACAUGCAAGUCGAACGAGACCUUCGGGUCUAGUGGCGCACGGGUGCGUAACGCGUGGGAACCUGCCCUUAGGUUCGGAAUAACUCCCCGAAAGGGGUGCUAAUACCGGAUAAUGUCUUCGGACCAAAGAUUUAUCGCCUUUGGAUGGGCCCGCGUUGGAUUAGCUAGUUGGUAGGGUAAACGCCUACCAAGGCGACGAUCCAUAGCUGGUCUGAGAGGAUGAUCAGCCACACUGGGACUGAGACACGGCCCAGACUCCUACGGGAGGCAGCAGUGGGGAAUAUUGGACAAUGGGCGGAAGCCUGAUCCAGCAAUGCCGCGUGAGUGAUGAAGGCAUUAGGGUUGUAAAGCUCUUUUACCCGGGAUGAUAAUGACAGUACCGGGAGAAUAAGCUCCGGCUAACUCCGUG
This 433-nucleotide ribosomal RNA is filed under the name uncultured bacterium. Its description in RNAcentral is "partial 16S ribosomal RNA". It matches the Rfam family "Bacterial small subunit ribosomal RNA", at positions 29 to 507 of the family's 1533-position model. The record is from RNAcentral.